AUGCCUUUGCCUGUUCCUGUCGCUCCAUGGGAGGACAUCUCUAUGGACUUUGUCUUGGGCUUGCCAAGAACAAGGCGAGGAAGUGAUGCUCUAUUUGUGGUCGUGGAUAGAUUCUCUAAGAUGGCUCAUUUCAUCCCAUGCUGCAAAACAACGGAUGCUCAUCAUGUGGCAAACCUAUUCUUUCGACAAGUGGUCAGACUUCAUGGAGUAUCAAGGUCCAUCGUCUCAGACCGUGAUAGCAAGUUUCUUGCGGCAUUUUGGCUCACUUUGUGGAAGCAAUUCAACACUGAGUUGAAAUUUUCUAGCACUGCUCAUCCACAAACAGAUGGACAAACGAAAGUGGUGAACAAGUUUUGGGGUAAUCUGAUCCGUUGCAUUUGUGGAGAAAGAAAGGGACAAUGGGAUUUGGCUUUAUCUCUUGCAGAAUUCUCCUACAAUAACUCCAAGCAUAGAUCCACGGGAAGGAGCCCUUUUUCCAUUGUCUACACUAAAGUUCCAUCACAUGUGGUGGACCUGGUGAAGCUACCAUCAAGGGGAAAACUCAAAAUCAGCAUUGUCCUUUGCUAA
Molecule: ribosomal RNA, 567 nt
Filed under: Triticum aestivum (bread wheat)
Lineage: Eukaryota; Viridiplantae; Streptophyta; Magnoliopsida; Poales; Poaceae
Description: partial small subunit ribosomal RNA
Source: RNAcentral